UUCUUUCUCACAGUCAUUUAAAUGUCAGGUAGAAAAAGUUCAAAUGAAGACCUGUGUUAACAUUUCAGGCUGUUAAGACCAAAGUAUUGACAGCUCAGCUCAUACUCAAAGUUUUAAUGGAAAUUCACAGCAGAAACAGAAUGAGAGAGUGCAGCUGUACAACAUGGUUAGCACAGUAAUCAACCAACACAGGGUAACCUGCAUUCUAUAGGGAAUAAACCUUAUCUUCCACCCCAUGCACAUUUGUAAGAUCCCUACGGUUCUUCACUGCUCUGCUCCAGAUGUUUCUUUUGACACAUACGCCCCUUGCUAUCACGAGAACACAUAAUUUGGCAAGCUCUGGAGAAGAGUUUUAUCAAGAUGGUUCCAUUUCACUUAGACAUGGAAAGGAAUCUUGUAUUGCAUUAUUGCUUUAAGAAGCUGACAUUUACCUGUGUCUAAUCAUUAGUAAUUCAACACUCCACACACAGAGAAAUAAGAGAAAGGUGCAUCAGGUGCUCAUCCCAGUUGGGACAUGAACCAGAGGCCAGAGGUUCAGUGUUGUCACCACGAUCCUCAAAUUAUGCAGCAUCAGAAUAAAAUGAAACUCUUCUGGCUCAACUAAAAAUUUGUUUUUGCCUAAACCUCCAUCAGAAGUAUAUGGCAAUGUGUGCAUCUGAUGUAGUUUCCAAAUAUCAGUUUGCAAAACAAAAACCAACUAGAAGGGCUGAUAUAAGAGCAAUAAGUCUGAGUAAAUAACAGCCAGCAGUUAUUAGCCUUGCUAACCAAUGCAGGCGUACUAGCAGAACUGUGAUUUUUUUUUUUCCCUCAGUUUAGCCUGUGUGCACAAAUGAGGAGACUUUAAAGGUAAAGUUCCAUUUCUUUAUAACCUUAAUCACAUUGAAGCUUCAUUAACCAUCUAGUCUUUGAAUGUUGUACUCACUUUUGACCUUUGCUUUAUUUGCAAUAAGUCUUUUUUUUAAUUCAUUUGGGAAUUUAAUUUAGGGAACAUUGUAGUCAUCGAGAAUUUAAGAGCCAUAUAAUAGCAAUAAGCUAAUGGCAAGAACCUACAAUUUGUUUAACCGUCAAAACAUUAUUGGCAACAAACUGUCUUUAGAUAUAUGGCCAGCAUGUAUUUUGUAUACGUAGAAGUUAGGUUUUUUUUUUUUUUUUAAACACAGGAUGUAGCUCUCAGUAAAAACUCCCUGUAGAAAUUCAUCACCACCAGCAAAAAAAAAUGUUGAAAAUAAAACCUAAAAUACAAGAAUGUAUCAACUACACCAGCUACAUUUAAGGUUCAAGAAAACAUGGUUCCAGUUUAUUUAGAGCCCUACUGUGAACACCCUACUGACAUUGGUUCCUUUUCAGCAGUUUUAAAAGGGAUUUCUUUCAUGUCAAAGGUGAGUCGAACACUCAGGAGUGCUAACAAUAUUUUAAUAUGACUAAAGUUGUAAAAAAAAAAAAAAAAUAGCCUUGUCAUUGAAGGCAGAAUUCUUGCAAACACUAAAUUAUAACAGUGGAACUCCAAGGCUGGUUUGGAUUCAGGCAUCAUGUGCUACAUGAUGAAUCUUUUUGACAUUAUAGAGGAAGAAUGAUAAUGAAAGAAAAAAACAAAACAAUAUUGUUUCCUCAAUUCAUAGCUUCACAGCCUGUUGCAUCUUACUUUAACUAGCAACCGUUUUUGUUGUCAUUUCACACACAAGGAGCAAAAGCAGAAGGCGACACACAAUUUCAUAUACCUUCCCAAGUAAAAGUAAGUCUCUACAUGAUUAUCACAUCAAACCAUGCACAUUACCAUCACAGUACUGCAGUUUGCAUAUCACUCUCAUUAACACAGUAAGAUCUGCAUUACACAUGCUGACCACUGUGACCAUCACUUAUCUCUGAAAUAUAUCAUCCGCUGUAAUCAUACAACUGAAAUUAGUAGUUCUAGUUCUCAUAUUAAUGACCCAAGUCGUUAAUUUAUCUGUUAAAGCAUGAUCUUUUUUGUUGUUUACAUCUAUGUACAUUUUUCUAUACAAAGAUGGCAAAAAAGGCAAGUGAAUAUAUAAAAGAUUAUAUAUUUAUACAGUCAAGAGGUCAAGUUAAACACACCGACCAGCUUUUAUUUUGCUGGUGUUAUUUAAAAUUUCACAGCAAAAUCUAAAUUCAAGUUGUUUUUUGACAUUCCGCACAAAGUAGAAAUGUGUUAUUUGAAACAGAUCAACACUUAUGGUAGAUACUACUACAGGACUGAGCUUACAACUAUUAAAAAAAAAUUAAAUAAAAAUCAAUCAACCCAUUGAAAUUCUCAAUUUAAAAGAAAAAUGCAUCAAAAGAGAACAACAAAUUAAACAAAUCAUGCAAGAAAAUGUACUAAGCACAGAAGAUGUUAGAAACUGCAAUAACUGUGUGUUAUUUUGGCAUCAGUCAUGCAGGGCCAGAGUCCACACUGCAGUGCUUCAUUUAAUGUUUGGAACAGAACAGCACUGCUGCAGCACAUCAAUGUUUCAGUCCACAUUUCUUCAGUAGUCCUGCCUUUGCUUUCUAAAUUUUUUUUUUUUUAACAGUCCAUUAGUGAAGCUAUUGUACAUUUCUUUUCAGCAACCGAUGAUUUGACAGACUACUUUUUUCUCAAUAUUUGCUGCAAAGUAUUUAAGCUAUAAAAGAGACAUUAGGACUGCAAACCUAAGCAGAGACCUCACAGAAGGUCUUGUGGCUGGUUUCCAUAUGACCUGCACUUGGAGCUUCAUCCAUUGCUCCCAAAUCAAUUAUCUUUAAUGUUUGGACAUCUGGUCAGCCUGAAGCUGAGCCACAUUACACCAUGAAAUGUGAGGUCAUCAAACACCUUGUAUUAAGUUCAACAACUGGGAGUUCUACUGACUUAACGUACAACUGACAUGGUUUGUUACGCUUUACAUAAUAUACUAAGUCCCAAAUAAAAGUGCUAUUAAUUGACAAUUUGAGGAUUUGAUAAGACUGAAAAUUUCCCAUGCGAAUUCAGGCUACUGACUUCCAUUGAAACAGCAAGGUGUACGUGAUGUCACUCCAGGAAGUCUUCUCUUCAGUCCAGCUUGAAAAGACAGAAGCAGCACCUCUGAUAUUGAUAAGGCUUUGUUCAUCGUGGAACUAUGUUGUGUUUCAUAGCAGAGCGCUCCAAUGAGUUGACAGCAGAAUGUGCAUGAGCCUUACACAGAUUGUGGGAGAGCUAGGAACUGCAUCUAUAUUUGAAGUGUGAAUUUUUCUAAUAAUUGCUUCAUGGAAAGGUCCAAGCUUUCAUCUCAAAUGGGAAUAAACAUGACGUGAAAACAAGUGUUAAAGCCUGCGCAAAAAUGUGUCCUGAUGAUUCUAAUGAAAUAACAUCUUAGAGAAGUAAAUUACAGGUAAGUCUGUGUUUUGUUUUUUAUUUUAUUAUGCAUAUUCUGUUGGGAGAGUGUGAGAGCGAGAGAGACAAAUGAUUGAGGACCGAUCCAGACAUGCAUGCUGUACUGUGACUUUCAUGUGGAUAAAUAUCAGCCUACUGGCCACUGCCAGCCACAUUUGAUACACAGCAAACUGCAUUUUGUUCACAGUGAUGAAGCGUGCCAGCUGUUGCCUUCAGCACAGACUAUCCCCUCUGGAGCAGGCUCUCUGAUCUCCAAGUACCUGCACUGAACACAUAUACCGGGUCAUGUCAUCCCCAAGUAGAACCGGACACACGCGUGCCACUAGGGCUAGCAGAGACCCGUUUGGAGACACUGGCCUAGACCAGGAUGGCUUGACCCCAGUUCGUUCCCUCUUUAUGCACCUCAACCAUCUGUUGAAGAAUCAAGGUGAAAAUCCUUGUUUGAGAAAUACAAGAGUGCUCUGAGAGCACAAUAUUCCCCGCUGGCAAAUGCUGCUUUGGUAUAAGUGCUGGCUACAUUCUGAUAACAUUUCAAGGACUUGCACCAAGUUUAACAAAAUUUCUCCUAAAAAUGUGAGAGGAGUUGACUUCAGAAUGUAGGCACCCUUUUUGGACAGACAAACGGAUAGAAAAAGCCACAACAUAAUCCCCCUUCAGUCCUUUUGCCAGCAGGGGAUAAAAACUCUGUGUGCGUACAGCUCAGUCUCGUGAUACUUGUUGGCAAAAUCCUGAGAUUUUACAUGUAAAAAAAAUAUAAUUUGACUAUAUAACAUUAGUUGUAGUAAAUCAUGGUGAAUUAUGUUCCUGUCACUUACAUCCCAUCAGUCUGUUACAUUUGCUUCCUUUGUCAGCUGCUUCAGAUUAAUUUGGCUGAAACAUGUCCUCUGAUCACCAAAUAUAACUGCCACAUUAUCUUCUCUGUUCCCGUUUGUCUCCUAUGAGCUUUCAGAUAGGGAAGAUAUAGUGUUUUCCUCGGAGCUGCUUGUGAGACUAAACAUUGUUUUCAUAUACUGGAGGCACUUGCCUGCUAAUGUACCUCUGCUGUGAUGCUGUGUUUCAGCUCCUUUUCGCCUCAUGAGACCAAACAGCGUUGCCGCAGGGGUAAUAUUUUGCCAAACUAAUGUGUCAUUCAAAUUUUUUUUUCCAACCGAACAAAACACAUACUAUCACAAAGUAAUAUGAAUCAGAAAAA
Thalassophryne amazonica is the source of this 4535-nucleotide long non-coding RNA. RefSeq lists it as uncharacterized. The record is from RefSeq and is a predicted model, not a curated record. The transcript is spliced from 2 exons. NCBI's taxonomy places the organism in Eukaryota, Metazoa, Chordata, Actinopteri, Batrachoidiformes, Batrachoididae.